Tribolium castaneum (red flour beetle) is the source of this 1988-nucleotide long non-coding RNA. RefSeq lists it as uncharacterized. The record is from RefSeq and is a predicted model, not a curated record. Lineage: Eukaryota; Metazoa; Arthropoda; Insecta; Coleoptera; Tenebrionidae. The transcript has 2 exons.
UGACCAGUGGCCUUCUUCACUAACAAGGUAACAACGUUUUUGCGCUCUCGUCAGUUAUGUAAUGUAAUGGUGGUCUUUUUUAUACUGUAUGUGCCCCCUCUCUGGCGUUUAGCACUGUGAUAACAAUUGCAAAUGAGGCGAUAAAAUCGCUAAAUUACAACGAAGGUCGGCAAAAACACCAACCCUGGACGUACUAGCGAGCCAUUUAAUGAGAUUUUUUCAUGAUUGAAGGAUUUCUGAUCCAGUUCGAUCAAACUGCGGGGAUCACCCGAUUUUACCGCAAAUUUCAACAAUAAAUCUAAAUAAAAUGAUUAUUUGUGAAAAUUCGGCGAUAAUCAGAAAUAAUACGUGGGGUCCAAGAGGAGGUCGCCAGGAGCCACGGUAUUUCGCCUCACGGACUGUUCAUGUUGCAGAGCGAUUUUUAGACUCAGAAGACCCAUAAAGCAGGAAUUAAAUGUUUAAGAACGUUGUUAAUUAACAAAAAAAAUGGUAUUUAUACUUUUUCAGCAAACAAGAAUCACAAGAAUGAGAGGCACAUUAGAGCACCACUUCAUUUAUUGCUCACUUUACUUAAUUGUUUGUGGAGUAAACAUUUAGUCGAUUAUUGGUGUUUGAUUUCUUCUAAUGUGAUUUUCGAGAAGAGUGAAAGGUUUUGCGAAAAUCAACUUUGUUAGAAACACUUAUUUUUCUUCGAAUUUGUGAUGCACAUUUCAAGAAAAUUGGCAAACAUUUACACAAAAAAUUUUGACUUAUAACACCGGCCGAUUUCUCGAAAAUUAACCAAUUUAUGUAAAAUUUGCUACCAGAUUUGAAAUCCUUGGUCAUUUUGUUAGAAAAUUAGAAAAUAUAAGCAUACAUUAAAGUAAACUGGAAAAAUCGGCUAAAAAUUGGUCAGAUUUUUAAAAAUUACGCACGCUUUAUAAGUUUAGAGUUUAGAGUUGUAGGUGAUUCUUGCAUAAUUUUACGUUAGAAGAACUUGCGUUUUUUUAAUUUUUGCUUAUUCGACUUGAAAAUCGCAAAAAUUUGACACACAGUGAAAUGAAAUUCUGCCCAAAAAUUUGUAAAUAAAUCAAAAACUAGUCCAGUUAUUUAAAUUUUGAGUUCAGAUCUGUAAUAUUUUUUGCCUUAAAAAUAUUUUCUCUUCUUUACCAAAAAAUCGCAUAAAAAAUAUUCUGACAUCUACUAAAGACCAGCCGAUGUUCUAAUUUAUAAUAAAAUUUCAUCACACAUUUGAAAUCCUAAAAACUUAGAUUCUCUUAAAUAUUUUUUAUUAUAGAAUUUUUUAGAAAAUAUAAAAGUUUUGCAAAAAUAAAAAUAAAUAGACUUGAAAAAUCGGCUAAAAAUCGGCGUAUAUUUCAAAAAUUAGCCAAGCUUUAUAAGUUAUUUUAUCUUAGUAACUUUAAUUCUUUUUUAAUAUUUUUUAAUUGAAUUUUUUCGAAAAUAAAAACUUCUGUACAAAUUAUAGUAGGUAGCCUUAAAAAAUCGGCUAAAAAUCGGCAAAUAUCUUAAAAAUUAGUCAAUCUUUCUAAGUUUUGAGCGUAGAGUUGUAAUUCUCGCAUCAUUUUACGUUAGAACUUGGGCUCUUUUAAUUUCCUGUUUAUUCCAAUUUUAAUAAAAUCUGAAAAUUUUUGACAAACUAUGAAUUUUUAUCGAAAAAUCGGCAAAUAAAUUUAUAAUUUUCGUGACGUUAGAAAUACUUUUUGAUGCACCUUUUAAGAAAAUUGGCAAAAAGUUGCAAAUUCAAUGUGAAUUAAAUACAAAAACCCCCGGUGUAAAUUCGAAAAUAACCAGUAAUGAGUUAUGAACAGGUCGCCAGGAGCCACGGUAAUCUUCCCUCACGACCCUGCUUAGAGGUAGGAGAAGCCCACAAAGCAGGAAUUAAAAUAAAUUAUUGACGGACUUUAAUUUGAAAAAAUAUUUGCGAUUUUUACUUUUUCACUAUUUUUUUUUUGUAAAAUUGUUAAGAAAAAUAAAAAUGUACAAAAAUC